RNAcentral lists this ribosomal RNA (253 nucleotides) under uncultured bacterium. RNAcentral describes it as "partial 16S ribosomal RNA". It matches the Rfam family "Bacterial small subunit ribosomal RNA", at positions 524 to 776 of the family's 1533-position model. The record is from RNAcentral.
UACGAACUGUGCGACCGUUAUUCGGAAUCACUGGGCUUACAGGGUGCGUAGGCGGCUCAACAAGUCAGGUGUGAAAGCCCCCGGCUCAACCGGGGAACUGCGCUUGAAACUGUUAGGCUCGAGUCAGCUAGAGGUACACGGAACUUCCAGUGGAGCGGUGAAAUGUGUUGAUAUUGGAAGGAACACCGGAGGCGAAAGCGGUGUACUAGGGCUGGUCUGACGCUGAGGCACGAAAGCCAGGGGAGCGAACGGG